This 78-nucleotide transfer RNA is filed under the name Thermoplasmatota archaeon. Its description in RNAcentral is "Candidatus Thermoplasmatota archaeon tRNA-Tyr". It matches the Rfam family "tRNA". Rfam says of the family: Transfer RNA (tRNA) molecules are approximately 80 nucleotides in length. Their secondary structure includes four short double-helical elements and three loops (D, anti-codon, and T loops). Further hydrogen bonds mediate the characteristic L-shaped molecular structure. tRNAs have two regions of fundamental functional importance: the anti-codon, which is responsible for specific mRNA codon recognition, and the 3' end, to which the tRNAs corresponding amino acid is attached (by aminoacyl-tRNA synthetases). tRNAs cope with the degeneracy of the genetic code in two manners: having more than one tRNA (with a specific anti-codon) for a particular amino acid; and 'wobble' base-pairing, i.e. permitting non-standard base-pairing at the 3rd anti-codon position. Lineage: Archaea; Methanobacteriati; Thermoplasmatota. The record is from RNAcentral.
CCCGUCUUAGCAUAGACUGGCCAAUGCGGCGGACUGUAGAUCCGCAGACCCCCGGUUCAAAUCCGGGAGACGGGACCA